Molecule: ribosomal RNA, 301 nt
Filed under: uncultured Slackia sp.
Lineage: Bacteria; Bacillati; Actinomycetota; Coriobacteriia; Eggerthellales; Eggerthellaceae
Description: bacterial SSU rRNA
Rfam family: Bacterial small subunit ribosomal RNA
Source: RNAcentral
CGGCUCACUCCGGGCGUGAUGCCGGGGGGAAGCGGAGGGUGCGAGCGUUGGCCGUAAUCGCAGGGCGUAAAGGGCGCGGAGGCGGCUUGAUAAUUCACGUGUGAAAUCCCGUUGCUCAACGACGGUGCCGCAGGUGAGACUGUCUGGCUGGAGCUUGGUAGGGGCGAGUGGAAUUCCCGGUGUAGCGGUGGAAUGCGUAGAGAUCGGGAAGAACACCGGUGGCGAAGGCGGCUCGCUGGGCCAAUGCUGACGCUGAUGCGCGAAAGCGUGGGGAGCAAACAGGAUUAGAUACCCCUGAGUC